GGGCGGAUGGCUGAGCGGUCGAAAGCACCAGUCUUGAAAACUGGCGUAGGUUUUUUGCCUACCGCGGGUUCGAAUCCCGCUCCGCCCGCCA
RNAcentral lists this transfer RNA (91 nucleotides) under Rickettsiales bacterium. RNAcentral's name for it is "tRNA-Ser". It matches the Rfam family "tRNA". Rfam says of the family: Transfer RNA (tRNA) molecules are approximately 80 nucleotides in length. Their secondary structure includes four short double-helical elements and three loops (D, anti-codon, and T loops). Further hydrogen bonds mediate the characteristic L-shaped molecular structure. tRNAs have two regions of fundamental functional importance: the anti-codon, which is responsible for specific mRNA codon recognition, and the 3' end, to which the tRNAs corresponding amino acid is attached (by aminoacyl-tRNA synthetases). tRNAs cope with the degeneracy of the genetic code in two manners: having more than one tRNA (with a specific anti-codon) for a particular amino acid; and 'wobble' base-pairing, i.e. permitting non-standard base-pairing at the 3rd anti-codon position. The record is from RNAcentral. Lineage: Bacteria; Pseudomonadati; Pseudomonadota; Alphaproteobacteria; Rickettsiales.